CCCUUUGUUACCAGAACGUAAGCUCUGGCUCCUGAGGGGACUGCCGCAGACAAUGCGGAGGAAGGUGGGGACGACGUCAAGUCCGCAUGCCCCUUAUGUCCUGGGCAACACACGUGCUACAAUGGUCGGUACAAAGGGAUGCCAAACCGCAAGGUGGAGCAAAUCCCAAAAAACCGGUCUCAGUUCGGAUCGAGGUCUGAAACCCGACCUCGUGAAGCUGGAAUCGCUAGUAAUCGUGGAUCAGCAUGCCGCGGUGAAUACGUUCCCGGGCCUU
RNAcentral lists this ribosomal RNA (274 nucleotides) under uncultured Spirochaeta sp. RNAcentral's name for it is "partial 16S ribosomal RNA". It matches the Rfam family "Bacterial small subunit ribosomal RNA", at positions 1108 to 1382 of the family's 1533-position model. Lineage: Bacteria; Pseudomonadati; Spirochaetota; Spirochaetia; Spirochaetales; Spirochaetaceae. The record is from RNAcentral.